RNAcentral lists this transfer RNA (29 nucleotides) under Channa argus (northern snakehead). RNAcentral describes it as "partial tRNA-Pro". Lineage: Eukaryota; Metazoa; Chordata; Actinopteri; Anabantiformes; Channidae. The record is from RNAcentral.
CAAAGAAGAGUUUAGAUUAGAAUCCUAGC